CCCUUAGAUGUUCUGGGCCGCACGCGCGCUACACUGAUGCAUUCAACGAGUCUAAAACCUGCUCUGAUAGGGGUGGGUAAUCUUUUGAAUGUGCAUCGUGAUUGGGAUAGAUGAUUGCAAUUUUUCAUCUUCAACGAGGAAUGCCUAGUAAACGCAAGUCAUCAGCUUGCAUUGAUUACGUCCCUGCCCUUUGUACACACCGCCCGUCGCUCCUACCGAUUGAAUGAUCCGAUGAAUAUCAUGGAUUGAGGAUGCAAGCAGGUUCGCCUGGCUUCAUCUUCGAGAAGUGAAGUAAAUCUUAUCAUUUAGAGGAAGGAGAAGUCGUAACA
RNAcentral lists this ribosomal RNA (329 nucleotides) under uncultured eukaryote. Its description in RNAcentral is "partial 18S ribosomal RNA". It matches the Rfam family "Eukaryotic small subunit ribosomal RNA", at positions 1470 to 1796 of the family's 1831-position model. The record is from RNAcentral.